AGUGAACGCUGGCGGCAUGCCUAACACAUGCAAGUCGAACGGCAGUACGGUAAGUGCUUGUUUUUACGGGUGGCGACUGGCGGAUGGGUGAGGAAUACAUCGCCAUCUACUUUUUCGUGGGGGAUAACGUCGGGAAAUUUACGCUAAUACCGCAUAUGACCUACGGGUGAAAGCAGGGGAACUUCGGACCUUGGGCGAUUGACUGAGCCGAUGUCGGCUUAGCUAGUUGGCGGGGUAACGGCCUACCAAGGCGACGAUCCGUAGCUGGUCUGAGAGGAUGAUCGGCCACCCUGGAACUGAGACACGGUCCAGACUCCUACGGGAGGCAGCAGUGGGGAAUAUUAGGCAAUGGGCGCAAGCCUGAUACAGCCAUACCGCGUGAGUGAAGAAGGCCUUCGGGUUGUAAAGCCCUCUUGUUGGGAAAGAACAGCUGCGGGUUAAUACCCCGCUAUUGUGACGGUACCUAAAGAAAAAGCACCGGCUAACUACGUG
RNAcentral lists this ribosomal RNA (492 nucleotides) under uncultured bacterium. Its description in RNAcentral is "partial 16S ribosomal RNA". It matches the Rfam family "Bacterial small subunit ribosomal RNA", at positions 29 to 507 of the family's 1533-position model. The record is from RNAcentral.